UGGAUGGCGUGGGUUGGCAGGCUCCGUGCUCGUGCAUCGAACUGUCGGCGCCCCAUCCGCUUCAGUCUUGCCCCGAGCGCAGCUCCUGGCUUGCGGGUGCUUGAGGUAUCCUGUGUUACUUACCCCCGGAAAGGAAUUUGACGGAUUUGGUGUCCCUAUCCGCCUUGCGCCCUUCGGGGUGCGGGGUGGACGCGAGUCGGGCUCCGUGUUCCMCGCGUGUCGAGUGCGUUGACGCUCGGCCGCUGUGGCCCAUGGGGUCUCGGCCGUGCUCUCGGAUGCGGAAUGCUGUGUGUGGGAGCGGGGUCUCGGCCUCUGCUCGUCCAAGCUGCACGCGUUGUCCCUAGACGUGAACGACCGCCUUGCCCGUCUUGAUCGACCGACCGAGUCCACGUCGCGGGGCUWCGGGAGGUCGUCUCAWGCGGGUCUCGGCGUCGGARAKKAAUGCUAC
Molecule: unclassified non-coding RNA, 448 nt
Filed under: Zanthoxylum kauaense
Lineage: Eukaryota; Viridiplantae; Streptophyta; Magnoliopsida; Sapindales; Rutaceae
Description: contains 5' external transcribed spacer, ETS
Source: RNAcentral